GACGAAAGUCUGACGGAGCAACGCCGCGUGUAUGAUGAAGGUCUUCGGAUUGUAAAGUACUGUCUUUGGGGAAGAACGGUGGCUUUGAAAAUAUUGAGGCCACAUGACGGUACCCAAGGAGGAAGCCCCGGCUAACUACGUGCCAGCAGCCGCGGUAAUACGUAGGGGGCAAGCGUUGUCCGGAAUUAUUGGGCGUAAAGGGCGCGUAGGCGGAUUGUUAAGUCCGGUGUGAAAGAUCAGGGCUCAACCCUGAGAGUGCAUCGGAAACUGGGAAUCUUGAGGACAGGAGAGGAAAGUGGAAUUCCACGUGUAGCGGUGAAAUGCGUAGAUAUGUGGAGGAACACCGGUGGCGAAGGCGACUUUCUGGACUGUAACUGACGCUGAGGCGCGAAAGCGUGGGGAGCAAACAGGAUUAGAUACCCUGGUAGUCCACGCCGUAAACGAUGAGUGCUAGGUGUAGAGGGUAUCGACCCCUUCUGUGCCGCAGUUAACACAAUAAGCACUCCGCCUGGGGAGUACGG
This 521-nucleotide ribosomal RNA is filed under the name uncultured bacterium. Its description in RNAcentral is "bacterial SSU rRNA". It matches the Rfam family "Bacterial small subunit ribosomal RNA", at positions 374 to 885 of the family's 1533-position model. The record is from RNAcentral.